This 450-nucleotide ribosomal RNA is filed under the name uncultured bacterium. RNAcentral describes it as "bacterial SSU rRNA". It matches the Rfam family "Bacterial small subunit ribosomal RNA", at positions 330 to 794 of the family's 1533-position model. The record is from RNAcentral.
CCCAGACUCCUACGGGAGGCAGCAGUGGGGAAUAUUGGACAAUGGGGGGAACCCUGAUCCAGCGACGCCGCGUGAGUGAAGGGGUAUUUCGGUAUGUAAAGCUCUAUCAGCAGGGAAGAAAGAAAUGACGGUACCUGACUAAGAAGCCCCGGCUAACUACGUGCCAGCAGCCGCGGUAAUACGUAGGGGGCAAGCGUUAUCCGGAAUUACUGGGUGUAAAGGGAGCGUAGACGGUGAUGCAAGUCUGGAGUGAAAGGCGGGGGCCCAACUCCCGGACUGCUCUGGAAACUGUGUAACUUGAGUGCAGGAGAGGUAAGCGGAAUUCCUAGUGUAGCGGUGAAAUGCGUAGAUAUUAAGAGGAACACCAGUGGCGAAGGCGGCUUACCGGACUGUAACUGACGUUGAGGCUCGAAAGCGUGGGGAGCAAACAGGAUUAGAUACCCGCGUACU